UACGAAGGGGGCUAGCGUUGCUCGGAUUGACUGGGCGUAAAGGGCGCGUAGGCGGUUCGUACAGUCAGACGUGAAAUUCCUGGGCUCAACCUGGGGGCUGCGUUUGAUACGUGCGGACUUGAGUGCGGAAGAGGGUCGUGGAAUUCCCAGUGUAGAGGUGAAAUUCGUAGAUAUUGGGAAGAACACCGGUGGCGAAGGCGGCAACCUGGUCCUUUACUGACGCUGAGGCGCGAAAGCGUGGGGGAGCAAACAGG
RNAcentral lists this ribosomal RNA (254 nucleotides) under uncultured bacterium. RNAcentral's name for it is "partial 16S ribosomal RNA". It matches the Rfam family "Bacterial small subunit ribosomal RNA", at positions 524 to 776 of the family's 1533-position model. The record is from RNAcentral.